GAUGAAGAACGUAGCGAAAUGGGAUAAGUAAUGUGAAUUGCAGAAUUCAGUGAAUCAUCGAAUCUUUGAACGCACAUUGCGCCCGCCAGUAUUCUGGCGGGCAUGCCUGUUCGAGCGUCAUUUCAACCCUCAGGCCCCCAGUGCCUGGCGUUGGGGAUCGGCGCGGCGCCCUCCGGGGCGCUGCCGGCCCCGAAAUUCAGUGGCGGUCUCGCUGUAGCCCUCCUCCGCGUAGUAGCACAACCUCGCGGCCUGGAGCUCGGCGGUGGCCAUGCCGUAAAACACCCCACUUCUGAAAGUUGACCUCGGAUCAGGCAGGAAUACCCGCUGAACUUAAGCAUAUCAAUAAGCGGAGGA
RNAcentral lists this unclassified non-coding RNA (354 nucleotides) under soil metagenome. Its description in RNAcentral is "partial contains 5.8S ribosomal RNA, internal transcribed spacer 2, and large subunit ribosomal RNA". The stretch from base 1 to 120 matches the Rfam family "5.8S ribosomal RNA", at positions 35 to 154 of the family's 154-position model. The record is from RNAcentral.